GGCGAUGUUUGAUCCUGGCUCAGAGCGAACGCUGGCGGCAGGCCUAACACAUGCAAGUCGAGCGCCCGUAGCAAUACGGGAGCGGCAGACGGGAGAGUAACACGUGGGAACGUACCCUUCAGUUCGGAACAACCCAGGGAAACUUGGGCUAAUACCGAAUACGUCCGUAAGGAGAAAGAUUUAUCGCUGAAGGAUCGGCCCGCGUCUGAUUAGCUAGUUGGUGGGGUAAUGGCCCACCAAGGCGACGAUCAGUAGCUGGUCUGAGAGGAUGAUCAGCCUCACUGGGACUGAGACACGGCCCAGACUCCUACGGGAGGCAGCAGUGGGGAAUAUUGGACAAUGGGCGCAAGCCUGAUCCAGCCAUGCCGCGUGGAUGAUGAAGGCCCUAGGGUUGUAAAGUCCUUUCGGCGGGGAAGAUAAUGACGGUACCCGCAGAAGAAGCCCCGGCUAACUUCGUGCCAGCAGCCGCGGUAAUA
RNAcentral lists this ribosomal RNA (476 nucleotides) under uncultured bacterium. RNAcentral's name for it is "bacterial SSU rRNA". It matches the Rfam family "Bacterial small subunit ribosomal RNA", at positions 1 to 525 of the family's 1533-position model. The record is from RNAcentral.